RNAcentral lists this ribosomal RNA (470 nucleotides) under Gemella morbillorum. RNAcentral's name for it is "bacterial SSU rRNA". It matches the Rfam family "Bacterial small subunit ribosomal RNA", at positions 28 to 478 of the family's 1533-position model. Lineage: Bacteria; Bacillati; Bacillota; Bacilli; Caryophanales; Gemellaceae. The record is from RNAcentral.
GACGAACGCUGGCGGCGUGCCUAAUACAUGCAAGUCGAGCGAAGUUUUUCUGGUGCUUGCACUAGAAAAACUUAGCGGCGAACGGGUGAGUAACACGUAAAGAACCUGCCUCAUAGACUGGGACAACUAUUGGAAACGAUAGCUAAUACCGGAUAACAGUAUUUCUCGCAUGGGAGAUAUUUAAAAGUUGGUUAUGCUAACACUAUGAGAUGGCUUUGCGGUGCAUUAGCUAGUUGGUGGGGUAAAGGCCCACCAAGGCGACGAUGCAUAGCCGACCUGAGAGGGUGAUCGGCCACACUGGGACUGAGACACGGCCCAGACUCCUACGGGAGGCAGCAGUAGGGAAUCUUCCGCAAUGGGCGAAAGCCUGACGGAGCAACGCCGCGUGAGUGAAGAAGGAUUUCGGUUCGUAAAGCUCUGUUGUUAGGGAAGAAUGGAUAUGUAGUAACUAUACAUGUACGAGACGGUAC